RNAcentral lists this ribosomal RNA (1433 nucleotides) under uncultured bacterium. RNAcentral describes it as "partial 16S ribosomal RNA". It matches the Rfam family "Bacterial small subunit ribosomal RNA". The record is from RNAcentral.
AUUGAACGCUGGCGGCAGGCCUAACACAUGCAAGUCGAGCGGAUGACGGGAGCUUGCUCCUUGAUUCAGCGGCGGACGGGUGAGUAAUGCCUAGGAAUCUGCCUGGUAGUGGGGGACAACGUUUCGAAAGGAACGCUAAUACCGCAUACGUCCUACGGGAGAAAGCAGGGGACCUUCGGGCCUUGCGCUAUCAGAUGAGCCUAGGUCGGAUUAGCUAGUUGGUGGGGUAAUGGCUCACCAAGGCGACGAUCCGUAACUGGUCUGAGAGGAUGAUCAGUCACACUGGAACUGAGACACGGUCCAGACUCCUACGGGAGGCAGCAGUGGGGAAUAUUGGGCAAUGGGCGCAAGCCUGACCCAGCAACGCCGCGUGAAGGAAGAAGGCUUUCGGGUUGUAAACUUCUUUUAUGAGGGACGAAAAAAAUGACGGUACCUCAUGAAUAAGCCACGGCUAACUACGUGCCAGCAGCCGCGGUAAUACGUAGGUGGCAAGCGUUGUUCGGAAUUACUGGGCGUAAAGCGUGCGCAGGCGGUUAUGUAAGACAGAUGUGAAAUCCCCGGGCUCAACCUGGGAACUGCAUUUGUGACUGCAUAGCUNGAGUACGGCAGAGGGGGAUGGAAUUCCGCGUGUAGCAGUGAAAUGCGUAGAUAUGCGGAGGAACACCGAUGGCGAAGGCAAUCCCCUUGCUGUACUGACGCUCAUGCACGAAAGCGUGGGGAGCAAACAGGAUUAGAUACCCUGGUAGUCCACGCCCUUAAACGAUGUCAACUGGUUGUUGGGUUUUNCACUGACUCAGUAACGAAGCUAACGCGUGAAGUUGACGCCUGGGGAGUACGGCCGCAAGGUUCAAACUCAAAGGAAUUGACGGGGACCCGCACAAGCGGUGGAUGAUGUGGUUUAAUCGAUGCAACGCGAAAAACCUUACCCACCUUUGACAUGUACGGAAUCCUUUAGAGAUAGAGGAGUGCUCGAAAGAGAGCCGUAACACAGGUGCUGCAUGGCUGUCGUCAGCUCGUGUCGUGAGAUGUUGGGUUAAGUCCCGCAACGAGCGCAACCCUUGUCAUUAGUUGCUACAUUCAGUUGGGCACUCUAAUGAGACUGCCGGUGACAAACCGGAGGAAGGUGGGGAUGACGUCAAGUCCUCAUGGCCCUUAUAGGUGGGGCUACACACGUCAUACAAUGGCUGGUACAGAGGGUUGCCAACCCGCGAGGGGGAGCCAAUCCCAUAAAGCCAGUCGUAGUCCGGAUCGCAGUCUGCAACUCGACUGCGUGAAGUCGGAAUCGCUAGUAAUCGCGGAUCAGAAUGUCGCGGUGAAUACGUUCCCGGGUCUUGUACACACCGCCCGUCACACCAUGGGAGCGGGUUCUGCCAGAAGUAGUUAGCCUAACCGCAAGGAGGGCGAUUACCACGGCAGGGUUCGUGACUGGGGUG